This is a long non-coding RNA of Marmota monax (woodchuck), 1291 nucleotides long. RefSeq lists it as uncharacterized. The transcript is spliced from 3 exons. The record is from RefSeq and is a predicted model, not a curated record. NCBI's taxonomy places the organism in Eukaryota, Metazoa, Chordata, Mammalia, Rodentia, Sciuridae.
UAUCACACUUAAUAUACCAUUAAGCCUGCCCUAAACAUGAUAACUUGAUCUUAAAAUUUUUGUCUGACUGGAUUUGAUGAAUUGAUGUCUUCCAAUUUAAAGGUUAUGAAAAGCUUAUGGAAUAAGGGCACCUUUGUAAUCAAAUAGAUUUUAUUAAAGCCUGGUCUUUUAUGGUUUCAUUAUAGGUGUAUUUAAUUUCAUUGGCUAGAUGCCAAACUUGGAGUUUGAUGAGGAAAGUGACUGACAAAGCAUGCUUCAGCUUUUGUAAAACACAAAUGCUCGAUCACACACUUAGUGAUGCUUAGCUGGCAUGUGGAUGGGAUUGGAUAUCCAGCUUAUUUUAACUUGUCAUUAUAACACAGCAGUGGUUUAGUGGUUCCUGGUAAUCCCAUCGGAUACCUGUACAGACUUUAUAUGGUGAUAAUCCUGAAGUUAAUAUUGGUUUUCUUCAAGGAAUAUACUUUUGGUGUAUGAGCCAAUAUCAUCUCAAUUUCAAAGUUGAGGAAACAGAUCCAAAUAAGUUAAAUAUCUUGCUCCAACCAUACAGUAAGCAGGUGAGUCUGGCUGCAGAGUUUAUUGACUUCACUGCUGUGAUGCUUCUCUAGACCUGAGUAAGAUCCACAAAUCCCUAUGGGUCCAGCACAUGUACAUUAUCUGAAAGAGAAUUAUCCCAGUGAUUUUUCAAGGGGUUUGGAGCUGAUAUUAUGCAAAUCCCAAUAUAGAAUAUAAGUGAAACAUCCUGCCAGAAUAAGCAAAAUGUGUUUACAGUUCAAAUUACUAAUGGGUUAUGGGAGAAUCAAAGAGAGGAGUUAGAUUACAUUGUAGAAUGUGCCAGCAUAAAAGUGAGACAGAUGAACACUAAGACCUGGGUAAUACAUUUCUAGUAGUAAGGAGGAGACUGGAGAAUCAAUCUGGAAUUCUUCUAAAUUUUCAACUUGAGUUACUUGUGGAAUAUCUUCCCUGUGCCAUGAACUGAUCCAAAAUAAAGAUUCUGGGCUUCUUGAAGCAACCCAUUUAUCUAUCUUUAAAGUCAAUGAGUUUUCAUUAUUUUAUAGAAAAGACAAGACUGAGUUUUCUGAGGCAGGAAGAUGAGUGCAAAAUAUCUGAACUCAUUGGAGGUGUAAAGAAGAAAAUCAUACGCAUACAAGCACAACACUUAGAAAUUAUAUUUGUGCAUAUAUAUGUGUACCAUUUGACACAGUACCUCUCAUAUAGUACCUUGAAUUCUAUUUAAUGGUAUUUCAUCUUCCAAAACAAUAAUUAAACCCAGGCUUAAUAAUUUUAUUCUUUU